GCAGUCGAGCGGAACGAUCCUAGCUUGCUAGGAGGCGUCGAGCGGCGGACGGGUGAGUAAUGCAUAGGAAUCUGCCCGGUAGUGGGGGAUAACUUGAGGAAACUCAAGCUAAUACCGCAUACGCCCUACGGGGGAAAGCAGGGGCUCUUCGGACCUUGCGCUAUCGGAUGAGCUUAUGUCGGAUUAGCUGGUUGGUGAGGUAACGGCUCACCAAGGCGACGAUCCGUAGCUGGUCUGAGAGGAUGAUCAGCCACAUCGGGACUGAGACACGGCCCGAACUCCUACGGGAGGCAGCAGUGGGGAAUAUUGGACAAUGGGGGCAACCCUGAUCCAGCCAUGCCGCGUGUGUGAAGAAGGCCCUCGGGUUGUAAAGCACUUUCAGCGAGGAAGAAUGCUUGUCGGUUAAUACCCGGCAAGGGAGACAUCACUCGCAGAAGAAGCACCGGCUAACUCCGUGCCAGCAGCCGCGGUAAUACGGAGGGUGCGAGCGUUAAUCGGAAUUACUGGGCGUAAAGCGUGCGUAGGCGGCUUGAUAAGCCGGUUGUGAAAGCCCCGGGCUCAACCUGGGAACGGCAUCCGGAACUGUUAGGCUAGAGUGCAGGAGAGGAAGGUAGAAUUCCCGGUGUAGCGGUGAAAUGCGUAGAGAUCGGGAGGAAUACCAGUGGCGAAGGCGGCCUUCUGGACUGACACUGACGCUGAGGUACGAAAGCGUGGGUAGCAAACAGGAUUAGAUACCCUGGUAGUCCACGCCGUAAACGAUGUCGACUAGCCGUUGGGGUCCUCGAGACCUUUGUGGCGCAGUUAACGCACUAAGUCGACCGCCUGGGGAGUACGGCCGCAAGGUUAAAACUCAAAUGAAUUGACGGGGGCCCGCACAAGCGGUGGAGCAUGUGGUUUAAUUCGAUGCAACGCGAAGAACCUUACCUACCCUUGACAUCGUGCGAACUUUCCAGAGAUGGAUUGGUGCCNUUCGGGAGCGCACAGACAGGUGCUGCAUGGCUGUCGUCAGCUCGUGUGUGAAAUGUUGGGUUAAGUCCCGUAACGAGCGCAACCCUUGUCCCUAUUUGCCAGGCGAUUCGGUCGGGUACUCUAGGGAGACUGCCGGUGACAAACCCGAGGAGUGGGGACGACGUCAGUCAUCAUGCCCUACGGUUAGGCUA
This 1160-nucleotide ribosomal RNA is filed under the name Halomonas sp. Its description in RNAcentral is "bacterial SSU rRNA". It matches the Rfam family "Bacterial small subunit ribosomal RNA", at positions 57 to 1216 of the family's 1533-position model. The record is from RNAcentral. Lineage: Bacteria; Pseudomonadati; Pseudomonadota; Gammaproteobacteria; Oceanospirillales; Halomonadaceae.